This 239-nucleotide long non-coding RNA is filed under the name Elaeis guineensis (African oil palm). RNAcentral describes it as "long non-coding RNA (EGUI_LNC043834)". Lineage: Eukaryota; Viridiplantae; Streptophyta; Magnoliopsida; Arecales; Arecaceae. The record is from RNAcentral.
CUGCCCAUAUGAAUUAGAAAGAGACUGGAUGAUCAAAUCACCUAUAAUUUCUUAUCCAUAUUCAUCCUGAGCUUCUGAAGCUCUUUAAUAUCUUUGAUCAUUGUCAAACAUGAUCAUUGUCAAACUACCAUCAUGUAUUUUCAUUCUGAAUAAUCUUUAAGAGACUUUAAAAUGAGCUGUACGACUCUAAUCAACAUAUAACUCUUGUAGGUGAGUCAGCAUAUCCUUGGUGUUGGUGC